UACGAAGGGGGCUAGCGUUGUUCGGAUUUACUGGGCGUAAAGCGCACGUAGGCGGAUCGUUAAGUCGGGGGUGAAAUCCUGGAGCUCAACUCCAGAACUGCCUUCGAUACUGGCGAUCUUGAGUCCGGAAGAGGUGAGUGGAACUCCUAGUGUAGAGGUGGAAUUCGCAGAUAUUAGGAAGAACACCAGUGGCGAAGGCGGCUCACUGGUCCGGUACUGACGCUGAGGUGCGAAAGCGUGGGGAGCAAACAGG
Molecule: ribosomal RNA, 253 nt
Filed under: uncultured bacterium
Lineage: Bacteria
Description: partial 16S ribosomal RNA
Rfam family: Bacterial small subunit ribosomal RNA
Source: RNAcentral